AAGAAGCUUGCUUCUUUGCCGGCGAGCGGCGGACGGGUGAGUAAUGUCUGGGGAUCUGCCCGAUGGAGGGGGAUAACUACUGGAAACGGUAGCUAAUACCGCAUAACGUCGCAAGACCAAAGUGGGGGACCUUCGGGCCUCACACCAUCGGAUGAACCCAGAUGGGAUUAGCUAGUAGGCGGGGUAAUGGCCCACCUAGGCGACGAUCCCUAGCUGGUCUGAGAGGAUGACCAGCCACACUGGAACUGAGACACGGUCCAGACUCCUACGGGAGGCAGCAGUGGGGAAUAUUGCACAAUGGGGGAAACCCUGAUGCAGCCAUGCCGCGUGUGUGAAGAAGGCCUUCGGGUUGUAAAGCACUUUCAGCGGGGAGGAAGGGGGUAAGGUUAAUAGCCUUAUUCAUUGACGUUACCCGCAGAAGAAGCACCGGCUAACUCCGUGCCAGCAGCCGCGGUAAUACGGAGGGUGCAAGCGUUAAUCGGAAUGACUGGGCGUAAAGCGCACGCAGGCGGUCUGUUAAGUUGGAUGUGAAAUCCCCGGGCUUAACCUGGGAACUGCAUUCAAGACUGGCAGGCUAGAGUCUCGUAGAGGGGGGUAGAAUUCCAGGUGUAGCGGUGAAAUGCGUAGAGAUCUGGAGGAAUACCGGUGGCGAAGGCGGCCCCCUGGACGAAGACUGACGCUCAGGUGCGAAAGCGUGGGGAGCAAACAGGAUUAGAUACCCUGGUAGUCCACGCCGUAAACGAUGUCGACUUGGAGGCUGUGGUCUUGAACCGUGGCUUCCGGAGCUAACGCGUUAAGUCGACCGCCUGGGGAGUACGGCCGCAAGGUUAAAACUCAAAUGAAUUGACGGGGGCCCGCACAAGCGGUGGAGCAUGUGGUUUAAUUCGAUGCAACGCGAAGAACCUUACCUACUCUUGACAUCCACGGAAUUUGGCAGAGAUGCCUUAGUGCCUUCGGGAACCGUGAGACAGGUGCUGCAUGGCUGUCGUCAGCUCGUGUUGUGAAAUGUUGGGUUAAGUCCCGCAACGAGCGCAACCCUUAUCCUUUGUUGCCAGCGAUUUGGUCGGGAACUCAAAGGAGACUGCCGGUGAUAAACCGGAGGAAGGUGGGGAUGACGUCAAGUCAUCAUGGCCCUUACGAGUAGGGCUACACACGUGCUACAAUGGCGCAUACAAAGAGAAGCGACCUCGCGAGAGCAAGCGGACCUCAUAAAGUGCGUCGUAGUCCGGAUUGGAGUCUGCAACUCGACUCCAUGAAGUCGGAAUCGCUAGUAAUCGUAGAUCAGAAUGCUACGGUGAAUACGUUCCCGGGCCUUGUACACACCGCCCGUCACACCAUGGGAGUGGGUUGCAAAAGAAGUAGGUA
This 1365-nucleotide ribosomal RNA is filed under the name Brenneria sp. RNAcentral's name for it is "bacterial SSU rRNA". It matches the Rfam family "Bacterial small subunit ribosomal RNA", at positions 73 to 1432 of the family's 1533-position model. Lineage: Bacteria; Pseudomonadati; Pseudomonadota; Gammaproteobacteria; Enterobacterales; Pectobacteriaceae. RNAcentral also lists the same sequence under 1 other name. The record is from RNAcentral.